This 253-nucleotide ribosomal RNA is filed under the name uncultured bacterium. RNAcentral describes it as "partial 16S ribosomal RNA". It matches the Rfam family "Bacterial small subunit ribosomal RNA", at positions 524 to 776 of the family's 1533-position model. The record is from RNAcentral.
UACGUAGGGGGCAAGCGUUGUCCGGAUUUAUUGGGCGUAAAGUGCGUGUAGGCGGCCAGAUAGGUCUGCUGUGAAAACUCGAGGCUCAACCUCGAGCUGUCGGCGGAAACCAUCUGGCUAGAGUCCGGAAGAGGAGAGUGGAAUUCCUGGUGUAGCGGUGAAAUGCGCAGAUAUCAGGAAGAACACCUAUGGCGAAGGCAGCUCUCUGGGACGGUACUGACGCUGAGACGCGAAAGCGUGGGGAGCGAACAGG